AUUUCUUCUCAGAAGGAGAGAUGAGAUAUUGGAAUGGGCAGCCCACAGAGGUGGUGAAGUCACUGUCCCUGGAGGUGUUCAAGAAAAGGGUAAAUGUGUCACUGAGGGACAUGGUUUAAUGGGCACGGUGGAGAUGGGUUGAUAGUUGGACUAGAUGGUCUUAGUGGUAUUUCCAACCUUUAAGAUUCUAUGUUAGUAGCAGGUCUUACUUCACUGUCUUGCAGUCACGUGGAAGAUGAGCAAGCUGUCUUCAUAUUGCAUGGGCUUACAGGGCACAUUUGCACAGCAGCUCACUUAUUUGCAAUAAACCUCUUCUGAAGAUGAGUAUCUUUGCCCUUUGAAGAUAUUUGUCUCCCUUCACUGACCAAGAGGUUCCCUGGACAUCUGGUUUGAACUACACAGCCAGUCUUUAGAUGACAAAUGGAAAGGAAAGGAACCACUCCCACACACUGUGGAUGUGUCUGAACAUGCUGUCUUUGCCACGCAAGGAUUAAUUCACAAGGACUUGAAAUUGUAUCAGAACUGGUUUUCGGCCAAACAGCCAACCAUUAUUAACGACUUCGAGUCAUUGAAAUCCAACAUGGAUGUGUCCCGGAUUUCUGGUGCCUGGGAUAUUUUCCAGAUCAAAUUAGUGGUUUCUGUGUGAUGCGAAAAACUGAAGGUUUGUGUGAGUUGCUGUGUGCAAUACAUAUUCUUUUCUGUACAUUUCUGAUGCAUCUAUGGUACUGUAUCUUUUAAUCUUUCUCAGUGAUAUUGCUUUUGAUUUUCAGGUAACUUGGGCCAAAACUCAUCAGUCAGAUUUUAUCGUCCUCUUAUGCUCCCUCUAACUCUUCUCAGAGUAAAGAUUUCAAAAGCAAUUUAGAAAUUCUGUCAACAUCUACGAGAGAGCCAGGAGUAGGAAAAUUAUAUCUUUCUGUACUUCUCCUUAGGACAGAGUAGAGUAAAGGAGAAAGCGUUUUCUGAAAAGGGAUUCUUUUUGACCAGAAAUUUGAGUAAAUUUCUUGUCUCUUACAAGAUACAAGUGGAUCUAAGAAAGUCACACUGUUUAUCGUCAGAUCUAUUGGUGUAUAGAUUUGAAUAGACUCUAAAUGUUUCUUCAACCCACCUUCCCAAAGAAAGUAGGCUGUCUCUGUAUUCAAACUACAAAGAGUGUAUAAUCUUUGAAAAAAGAUUGAAAGCAUCUUCCUACUGUGAUAUUUUUGUGUAGAAAGCUGACUGCUGUGGGGCUGAGUUUGUGUUGGAAAAAAUGUCAUUUUCAAAGAAGAUAAAAUUCAGACUUUUACUUUCAAUAAUUAGAACGGUGAACUCUUUGAAAUUAUGCUUCUUAUUUCACGUCUUCAACAAGGCUGACCAGCAAAUGGUUCUGUAAACAAA
Molecule: long non-coding RNA, 1374 nt
Filed under: Phasianus colchicus (ring-necked pheasant)
Lineage: Eukaryota; Metazoa; Chordata; Aves; Galliformes; Phasianidae
Description: lncRNA (ENSPCLG00000003154.1)
Source: RNAcentral